AUUGAACGCUGGCGGCAUGCUUUACACAUGCAAGUCGAACGGCAGCGCGGGGGCAACCUGGCGGGCGAGUGGCGAACGGGGUGAGUAAAUAUAUCGGAACGUACCCAGAAGUGGGGGAUAACGUAGCGAAAGUUACGCUAAUACCGCAUACGAUCUACGGAUGAAAGUGGGGGACCUUCGGGCCCCAUGCUUUUGGAGCGGCCGGUAUCUGAUUAGCUAGUUGGUGAGGUAAAGGCUCACCAAGGCGACGAUCAGUAGCUGGUCUGAGAGGACGACCAGCCACACUGGGACUGAGACACGGCCCA
RNAcentral lists this ribosomal RNA (305 nucleotides) under uncultured bacterium. RNAcentral describes it as "bacterial SSU rRNA". It matches the Rfam family "Bacterial small subunit ribosomal RNA", at positions 30 to 333 of the family's 1533-position model. The record is from RNAcentral.